CUGGAACAUGUCUUAUUCACUGUGUCCUGAUUCAAGUCCUGCUUAUCACAGUCUAUGCUCGUAAGUAAAAUUUAUUCUUAUUCAGAUGAAAGUUUCACUACUGAGCCACAUGCUCAAACACCAAAGGUGGAUGAUGAGUCACAUCUGUCCUGUGUGUGUGUGUGUGUGUGUGUGUGUGUGUGUGUGUGUGUGUGUGUGAUGCUAUUACACUUUAUUCACCUUUUUUUUAUUUUAUUUUAUUUUAUUUUUUCUACAGAAUUUCCAACAAACUGUGCAAAUCAAGCUACCACUGAGGGAAAACCAGUACAUCUAACCUGCAAUGUUACAUGUAAAAAAUGUGAAUUAGACAGCUAUACUUGGAAGCAUGGAGAAACUAAAAUCAACUGCAGUAAAAUGCGUAACUUUACUAGUGGCAACAGUCAUAUAUUUCAUUGCAUAAAUGAAAGUGCAUCAGCGAGUCACAGUGGAACAUUUACAUUUUGGGUACAAAUGAAAGAAGGAAUUGGUGAAACAAAAUUCAGCGUGACCAUAGAGCGGCCUGCUGCUAAUCUCACCACACCAGGUCCUGUUUCUACAACCAAUUCUCACGGUCAUGAAGAGAAACUUAAGACUUCACCUAAGGGUCGUUCACCUGAAGUUGCCUUGGCUGUAUUGUUCAUGAUUUGUCUUGCCUUAGGCCUCAUUGUUGCUGUUUUGUUUAUAAGAAAUAAAAACUGUAAUAUGUCAAUUUCAUCAAUAUUCACUCACAAAAUGAUCACAGAAACUGAAAUAAUAUAAUCCCAAUACAUACAGUAGUUGUGACACUGUCCCAAGCUCAGAAAGAUAAGCUUUCUUUAUGUCAGUCUCUGUCAUGGCAGAGGGAGAUUAAGGAAAUUAAGGAAAAAGGGGGAAAUUGUACAGUUAAGGGGAAAAUAUAAUCCCAUAUAUGUAGCAGAUUCUUUUCUUUCUUUCUUUUUCUAACGCUUCAUUUCUAGUUUCAGUGAAAUAUUUAUCUCUUACUUAUCACUGUGUGAUGCUUUUCAAUUGCUAAUGGAUUGGUGUGAACUGACUCCUUUUCUGAUUUUGAGAUUUUGUGGGAUCUGUUUUUAAACAUCUGUGGUGAUUUUUACCCGUAGCUUUUUUACAAUUAUUUACCUUCUCAGAAUGAAAAAGGUAACAUACCGUACAAACAUUUCUCACUGCUGUAAUAUACUCGAGAACAUGUUGUUUAUACUGUUACUUAUAUAAAUACAAAUAUAUAGUAUUAUAAUUAAUGGUAUAUAAUCUUUAAGAACAACUGUUGUACCUUUGACAACAAAAAUACUUGUACAGGGCUUUUUCACAGAACUCACUGUAAUCUGUGAUUUAAUUUUUUUUAAUACUAAUACUAAUACUACUAAUAAUAAUACAUGGCGGAGCAGAACACUGAAUAGAUUUUGGUGUUGCAGUUUUGUGUACUUUUGUAUAUUGUGUAUUCUGUUGUAUUGCCAGUUCUGUUGUAUUGUGUGCUUUUUUACUGUAAAUGUGAAUAUAUUAAUAAAUGUACAGAAUUCACACAGUUCUUGGGUGUUUAUAAUUCUACUGUGAUGAGAAUUUGCUCAGGCAAUGAUAUACCAACAAAAUGUAAAAUAAGACUGGUGAACAUGUGCAUUCAUGUCCCUCAGCACAAAGCCAGAUCUGUGGGAGGUGGAGGAUGUUUAUCUUGGGGUGGUUUAGUAGACAUUUAUAAAGAUCACAACAAAAAUGUUUACUUUUAUUAAUGUUUUUAGAAUGUCACAGAGGAACGGGAACAUGAAACACAGAUAAAAAUCCAGCUGUAACAGAUGUUCCCUUAUGGUGUACAUCAAAGAAAUAUGUUUUCCUCUCUUCUAGACCAGUUACAAUGUGACUUGUUUAAAUUUCAUUUUAAUAUUAAAUAUCAGGGUUGAAUGCUUACCUGGAUGUCAUUAUCCUUCUGCCUCAGACAGGUAGAGCUAACUAGUGGGAAGUAAUUGAACAUCUAACGCUCAUGAUGCUGAUUUUGAUUUUCAGACAUCUGAAAUUUGUUACCUCUCGAAGCCACAAAAGUUGCCUGAUGGAAAACUGAGAAAUCUCACCAAGCUUUGGUUCACUCCACUUAUAACUGACCUUUUGAUGUAUUUUGUAUUGGGUUCUCUGGAACAUUGAUGACCUCUGAGAGUGUGUUAGAUUUAACAGGUCGCUUCAAAUAGAAAGAGCUGAUCUGCUUCACAGAACCAAGUAGAUGCACUUUGCACACUUUCUGUCUUGACAACCUUCACUAGUUUGAACUUGUGAUGCUACUUUGCAGGUCGUAUAUAAUGCGUAGUCCUGGGACAAAAAUGUUUUUGACCAUCUCAAACCCUGGUAGUCAGUAAUGGGAAUGGGGACACUAGAGAAAGGCUUAGGAGAG
Molecule: long non-coding RNA, 2389 nt
Organism: Ictalurus punctatus (channel catfish)
Lineage: Eukaryota; Metazoa; Chordata; Actinopteri; Siluriformes; Ictaluridae
Source: Ensembl